Amblyraja radiata (thorny skate) is the source of this 75-nucleotide long non-coding RNA. RefSeq lists it as uncharacterized. The record is from RefSeq and is a predicted model, not a curated record. NCBI's taxonomy places the organism in Eukaryota, Metazoa, Chordata, Chondrichthyes, Rajiformes, Rajidae. The transcript has 3 exons.
AAGUCUACUCCGCCAUUCAAUCUCGGCUGAUCUGUCUGUCCCUCCUAUCUCCAUUCCCCUCAGAAUAUGAUUUAU